AAUAGUGUAGUUUAAUUAAAAUUUUAUCUUGCAAAGAUAAAGUUGCUUACAGGGCGACUAUUU
RNAcentral lists this transfer RNA (63 nucleotides) under Regioscalpellum regium. Its description in RNAcentral is "tRNA-Cys". Lineage: Eukaryota; Metazoa; Arthropoda; Thecostraca; Scalpellidae. The record is from RNAcentral.